AGGCUGCAGUGGGGAAUAUUGCACAAUGGGGGAAACCCUGAUGCAGCCAUGCCGCGUGUGUGAAGAAGGCCUUCGGGUUGUAAAGCACUUUCAGUUGUGAGGAAAGGUUGAUACUUAAUACGUAUUAACUGUGACGUUAGCAACAGAAGAAGGACCGGCUAACUCCGUGCCAGCAGCCGCGGUAAUACGGAGGGUCCGAGCGUUAAUCGGAAUUACUGGGCGUAAAGCGCGCGUAGGCGGCUUGGUCAGUCAGAUGUGAAAGCCCCGGGCUCAACCUGGGAAUUGCACCUGAUACUGCCAAGCUAGAGUACAGAAGAGGGUGGUGGAAUUUCCUGUGUAGCGGUGAAAUGCGUAGAUAUAGGAAGGAACAUCAGUGGCGAAGGCGGCCACCUGGUCUGAUACUGACGCUGAGGUGCGAAAGCGUGGGGAGCAAACAGGAUUAGAUACCCCUGUAGUC
RNAcentral lists this ribosomal RNA (457 nucleotides) under uncultured Neptunomonas sp. RNAcentral's name for it is "bacterial SSU rRNA". It matches the Rfam family "Bacterial small subunit ribosomal RNA", at positions 346 to 795 of the family's 1533-position model. Lineage: Bacteria; Pseudomonadati; Pseudomonadota; Gammaproteobacteria; Oceanospirillales; Oceanospirillaceae. The record is from RNAcentral.